This is a long non-coding RNA of Girardinichthys multiradiatus, 927 nucleotides long. RefSeq lists it as uncharacterized. The transcript has 4 exons. Lineage: Eukaryota; Metazoa; Chordata; Actinopteri; Cyprinodontiformes; Goodeidae. The record is from RefSeq and is a predicted model, not a curated record.
UUCACCGCGGUCUACCGGCGCUGUAUCCCCGCUGCUGAACACCUGUCCAUCUGUCUUCGAGGCAGCUGCAUCCUAGUGAUCAUGGUGAAGCUGACCAGAUCUUCCACCAGAGCAUCUCUCUCCUCCAGGCUGGUGACUGGUCUGUUGCAGCCAGCCAGCUCCAGAGAGUACAUCUGAAGAAGAAGAGUCCUGCACUGUGGGCCUGGCGCUAUACGCAUAGAAAAACAAUGAGAAAACCAGUGAAAGACCCUUCAUACCUACAAGACAUUCUAUAGGGAAAUGGACCACCUUCCUGCAGCUCCUGACAUUGCAGCCAAUGCAUGCUCCCUUCUUCUUACAACCAAAACAUGUCUGGAGCACACAAAGCACACAUACGAAUAGAAGUGCUUCUCUACCAAAGGCAAUGUAAAUCUUUUUCCACAUAACGCACAAAGAAGCUCUUGUCUUAUCCUGAAUUUAAUCUCAGUAUUUAUACAGCUGAAAGGCAAACAGAUGUCAGAAUGCAUUACAUUGGUUUGGUGCUUGAAAUGACCUGACAAAAAUGUAUUUAAUAAGACAUAAUAGUUAGAGCAGCUCCACAGUGGGGCAGGGUGUGGCACUGUUGCAAGAAGGUCCUGGGUUAGAAUCCCAGCCUGGGGUCCUUCUGCAUGGAGUUUGGAUGUUCUCCACGUGCAUGCAUGGUUUCUCUCCAGGUACUCUGGCUUCCUUCCAUAGUCCAAAUGGAUGACUGUUAGGUUCACUGGUCUCUCUCAAAUGCUCUUAGGUAUGAAUGGGUGCAUUGUUGCUUAUAUUUGUGUCUCUAUGUUCCCUGUAAUGGACUAGCAACCUGCCCAGGGUGAAGCCAGCCUCUCGCCCAGUGACAAUUGGAGAUGGGCACCAGCUCCCCGCGACCCUAAAUGGAUAAGCAGGUGUGAUAUAAAUGGAUAA